This 86-nucleotide transfer RNA is filed under the name Caudoviricetes sp. RNAcentral's name for it is "tRNA-Leu". It matches the Rfam family "tRNA". Rfam says of the family: Transfer RNA (tRNA) molecules are approximately 80 nucleotides in length. Their secondary structure includes four short double-helical elements and three loops (D, anti-codon, and T loops). The record is from RNAcentral. Lineage: Duplodnaviria; Heunggongvirae; Uroviricota; Caudoviricetes.
GUGCGUGUAUCCGAAUUGGCAUAGGAGCUGCUUUGAGAUGGCAGUGUCGAAAGACAUUGUGGGUUCAAUUCCCACCAUGCACACCA